UGCCAGCAGCCGCGGUAAUACGUAGGUGGCAAGCGUUAUCCGGAAUUAUUGGGCGUAAAGCGCGCGUAGGCGGUUUUUAAGUCUGAUGUGAAAGCCCACGGCUCAACCGUGGAGGGUCAUUGGAAACUGGAAAACUUGAGUGCAGAAGAGGAAAGUGGAAUUCCAUGUGUAGCGGUGAAAUGCGCAGAGAUAUGGAGGAACACCAGUGGCGAAGGCGACUUUCUGGUCUGUAACUGACGCUGAUGUGCGAAAGCGUGGGGAUCAAACAGGAUUAGAUAC
Molecule: ribosomal RNA, 279 nt
Filed under: uncultured Staphylococcus sp.
Lineage: Bacteria; Bacillati; Bacillota; Bacilli; Caryophanales; Staphylococcaceae
Description: partial 16S ribosomal RNA
Rfam family: Bacterial small subunit ribosomal RNA
Source: RNAcentral